GCUGCGGAGAGAGGAAGGCAGGGCAAGUGGGUACUGGGGUGCCACCGCCCCCUUACCCUUACCGCUCCCCACCUGCCCUGGACUCGAGGGCAGCUGGCCCGGGUCCUGGAUGCAACUCCCCCUCACAAUGAGACCGGUGUGGGGAACUGCCACCUGGUGUCUCCCACGGGUGCGUGGGCAGCAAGGAAACCCGAAGCCAUCCUGGAAGACCUGUGUCUUCCAGGGAAAAAGGGACUCAGGGCUCAGCCCAGGCAGGGAAGGCUGAGGGGAGUGGGGCUGUCCUAUGCAGAUGACACCCACCCCUGUGGCCUGGCCUCCAAGAGCUCAGAGCCAUGGAGAAUUGUUUGGAGAACUAAGGAGAGGCAGAGAUGCCCCAGGACCCCGCCCGCUGCCUGGCCUCCACCCGGCACCCCAACAGGCUCUCCCAGGUCUCCCUGCACCCAGCACAGAGCACAGGCUGAGGCCGUGCUUGUGGGAAGCAGAGGAGGAGGGGGCUGGGCAGGGACCCCGGAUGGGAUGCACGGCCUAGAACUCCGGGCCUGAAUCACACCACCUGCUUCUUCCAGGACCCAGAGCAUCUGGGCAGACACUCAGUCGGCGGCUAGGGCCUCUGGCUCUGCUGCAGCUCUGGGGCCCCCUAGCUGGAGGGGUGUGCCCGACACUACCCCUCUGCCCAUGGGGAUGGGACGGACAUAUUCUGCCAGGGCCCAAGGGGAGGGCAGGGAGGAAGUGCCAGACAGCCUCAUGUCCAGCAAGGCUUUCCCAGGGCCUGCUGGCCACAUGUCCCCGAAGCCAGGUGGGCCCCCUCACCCUGUCCACCUGCACCCUGGCACCCUCCGGUGGCAGGCAGAGACCAGCAGGACACAGGCAGGGGCGUGGAGAAUGGGGCAGAGGUGCCAGCUGUCCAGGACGGGAGGGGCCUGGGGGCCAGCAGAGAGGCAGGAUGGCAUGGGACAGAUGGCGUGGGACAGACAGUGUGGGACAGAUGACAGGAGGCCUGCUGAGGCAGGAGGAUGGUGGCUGGGGCUGCCCUCUGGAUGCCCUGUAAGAGGGACCCUUGGCACAGCAGGGCCCGGAAGGAGUAGGGCCUGUCCUUGCUGUGCAAAGGACCUCAGGGCCCUCUCUGGGCAACGGCAGAGAAGCAGCCUCCCGCUCAUCCUGUGGUGUGGAAGGGACAGGAUACGGGAAGGGCUGCUGGAUCCAAACCUGGCUCUCAGGACUCCCCGGAAGCAGCCCAGGUGGACAAGGCUGGGCCUGGCUGAGGGGGCGGAGGGGCGCAGGUGGUGCCCCUUUCCAUCCAUCCCACCUAGGCACCUCGGGAGGCUGCAGGCAGCAGACACAGAGCGGAACCCUCGGGUCCACCAGCCCCUUCACAGGUCAUGGCCAAGUCACGACACUGAUGGUGAUGACCCUGGCUGGCGGAGGCUGGUCUAGCCCUAGGACCAGAGCCCACCACGUCUGCAGGGUCCAGAACCAGAGCCAGGAGGGCUGAGGAAGUGCAGCUGCCCCUCUUUGGCUCCACCCUGGGCUUCCCAUGGGGUCCAUCUGUAGCUGGAACAUGCAAGAAUAGCCUGGGCAGAGAGGACAGGGCCAGGAGUAUGGGGGACACGGAUUCCUAGGAGGCGCCAAAUCAGAAGGUGACCUGCAACAGCAGCCGGGGCAGAAAGUCCUACCGGACUGUGCUGACACAAAAGAAAAAGCAGAAACUGAACUAUCGUUUAAAAAACAACAACAACAACAACAACCAGGAAGCCCACAAGAAUACCCCGAACAAUGAAAUCAUCUAGGAAUGUAAAAACAAGACUGUUCUCCAGUGCAGACCAGACUCAGAUCCCAGUUCCCCAAACUCCCGCCAGCAAAGCAGAAAGACCAUGGGAUGGUGGGUGCCUGGAUAUCAUCCGCCAGCCUGACUUUAUCUUCCAGCUUGUAGAAGACUGUAACUGCAUUUCUUGUUUGAAAAUGAUCUGCUUUCUGGAGGGGGAAGUAUACACCCAGCCAGCCAGCUCCAUCCUGCCCAGCGAGGCUCGGGUAUGGAGCUGAAGUCUAUUUUCGUGCUCCUCUCAGUUCCCUAUCUUUUUCUGCCUUAAAAAAAUCCCCCUAGAGUUUCUACACACAUAAGUUAUUCAGAUGCAAGCUUUUCUGGAAUCCAGGGACGAAAGCCAUGGCUUUGAUAAAUCAUCUCCCUCCCGCUCCUCUGCGUCCACUUCAUCCAUCCUCUGAAUGCAAACCGACAAUGGAGAAUUCGGUCAUACGUUGGCUCAAUCGAGAACAGGCACGCAGGAUCCCUCCUUCCUGGCUGUCUGGGGACCCUACCAUCUUUGGCCGAGUGAGUCGAUGAUAAUACAAGACAUCUGGGAGACAGGAUGCAUCUCCAAACAACGUGCUGGCGUCUCACUCCCCACAUGUGUUCUGAGGGCUCUGUUUCUGGCUCCUUCUGGGUAGCUUUGGGCCUGGGCUACCUGCCACCACUGGCCCACCCAGACCCUCCCUGGGCCCCAUGGCAGGGACCCGCCAGCCCAGAGGCAGAAGGCCUCCAAGAUGGGUCGGCCAGUGACGGAAGGCUUGGGAACAGUUUUCUGGGGGAAAUGCUGCAAUGUUUAUAUGAGAGCCACUUUGGACUUGGUUUGCAGUUUCAUUUGAAUCUCCUGAGUAGUGGCACGGCUCUUAGCUGUUCAAUCCAACAGUUUACACGCGCUCAUAUUCGGGGCUGCAGAAGCACUGCAGACUCCGAUGUGCAGCUGCCCUGGUCAGUGUCCCAGGCCAGGCUGGGGGAUUGCUGAGCAGCAGGAAGCACUUGCUUCUCCUCAGUGUGAGACCGAAAGGGAGGCGUAUGGGUCACUCUUCCCUUCAUCUGCCCCAGUGGGCGGCCCCUGCAGACACGGUGGCGAGCUGUGGUCUCCAGGGUGCAUGGGCCGGCUGCCUGCUCCCAGCCAGGCCUUCCGUGGAGUGCCAAGCUCCAAGCGUGGCCAGCAGGGACAAAGGCCACCACUCGGAGUCCCUGAGGCUCCCCGUGCCAUGGCCUAACCCACCAAGGGGACCUCUCUCCAGUGCGUUCCUGGGCAUCUCUGCCCCCUUUUCGUGUGACGGCCACUCCUCCAGGGCCUCGGCAGACAGGAAAGCUGCCCAUGCCGCCAGCCCAUGACAGCAGCAGCUUCUGGUCCCCAGAGCCAGCAAUCCCUGGUGCACGCGGUGGGUGACGGGAGCAGCUGCGUCCUGUGGGCCUCCUGGGUGUCUGGAGGGAACUGGCAUUGCCAUUUUAUGCAUGACAUGGACAGAGGCACGGCACCAGUGAGGGGCCCCGGGUCCCAGAAGAGCACUGUGGGGUGCCUCGUCCAGAGGUGGGUGAGACACAAGGACAGCUGCCAGGAAAGCACAGUGGGGUGAGGCCCGGGCGUCAGGGCAGUGGCCUUGGCAGGCGGGAGGGAGAGUCACACGCGCAGCACAUGCUGUAUUUUGCUUUUUUUGGUGACCAGUGUCUCAUGAUGUCUGGGAGCACCCAGGAUGUCUGGACAAGUGCUGUUCAAACUGUGGGUCAUGACAUCAGCUGAGGAGGGUGCAGCCACGAAGCACAAACAAGAGACAAACCGAAAACGCGUGGGCAGGUGUCUGCUCAUAACCAGGCCUGUCCAUGUGUAUGAGGACGGGUGAGAAUGGAGAGCACGCUCCUAACUGGGAUGGGAUGGGACGGCCAUGCCUGUGGGUCUGGACCCUCCUGAGGGCGUUCUGUGGCCCCAAGAGCAUGUCUUUAAGACCGCAGAGUGCUCAGGGCAGGGCUGGCUGGUGACAACAAGUCUCCCUCGGAGGAAACAGCAAGGUGGUGGGGGAGAGCUGGGCUGGGACAGGCAGCAGAGAGCAGGCCUGGGGGCAACGCUCUACCCUGGAGCUCACCAAAGCAUUGGGCCCCAGGUGGAGUGGGGCAAGGGGGUCCCCAGGAGCUUGUCACCCAUGGGGUCCGCAGCGCGAUGGUGGCAGACAGACUCAGGCUGAGUAGACAGCAGGAGUAGGCUGGCCGCAUCCCAGGCUGCAGGGCCCAUGUGAGGCCAAGGUGGCUGCUGAGGUCCUGGGUGAGCGGGCACCCCAUGGCCUGCAGGGUCGAGGUCUCGCCAUUAUCUAGCCAGGGAAGGAGGGGAAGAGGGCACUGGUGGCUGCUGAGUGUGAGGGCUGGGACAGGUCUCUCCUCCUAGCCAGGCUGGCCACCCACCCCCCAUGCCCAGGAGCAACACAAAAGACCAGGCCCAGCAGGGGUGAGGCCUGGCCCAUCGUCCUGAGACAACACUGCCCUCUUCUGGCCAGUUCUGGAAGGACAGGCUUGCUGCCCACCAGCUGCAUCCCGACUGGGACAACCAAGGCCUGGGGCAUCCUGGGACACGUGCUCUAGAAACUCUGCGAGGGGCCACAGUAGAUUAAGGCCCCCCUCCAACCCCCACCACCUGAUCGGGAAGUGAGGGAGGCAGGAGGAGUGUCCCAGCUGCUUUCCCAACCAGAGCCCUCCACCUCUGCCCUGUGGGGUGAGCCUCUCCAGGACCUGGGGCGGCCUCAGGCCCGGAGUGCUGCAAGGGAUGGUCCCUCUCUGGGCGCACUGCUUCCCAGAAUCGUGGACCAUGCGCCCCCUGCCCUAGCUGCGAAGCUUGCUGGCCUGCAGUGGCUCUGGUGCCCACAGCCCAGGCUGUUUGUGGAAGGAGGGGGCAGCACAUGGGGGCUCAGAAGACGACCAGGAGAAGCAGGGGGAUGAGUCCUGGCCACCUCUGUGCUCACACAAACCUGUUCGGGGCUGGAGUGAGUGGGGAGGGGUCUUCUGGGGCCUCCCACUUAGGAAUGGCCUCCAGUGAUCUCAGGCACCUCAAUCUGUGUGAACAUGUUGAAAGUGUUAAUUAGCAAGUGUGCUGCGCUUUUGUAACCCUGUUCUUGAAGGUCUGCCUGAGGGGUUUAAAAAGGAAAACAAAAAAAGCAGCGAAUGGCCCCUCUGGUACAGUGACUUGGAGAUGGGGUUCAUGGCGAACCCCAGGAUCACAGCGGGAAAAGACUCUGAGAACAACAGCAAAACCCCCGGAGGCUUGACGGCUACAGGCCCCACAUGGGGCCGCUUGGCUCUGAACCAGGCUGAGGGUGUAUGCAGCCACCACAAAGUCCCGUCCCUCACCCCUGCGUGCAUGCGAGUGGGUGUGGUGGCAUCACACCCAGAGAAGCGGGAAGGGGCCCGGGGGUGGCUGGCUGGGGGUGAGGGACGGCCCUCAGGAAGUCUGUCUCAGUCCUUGGCUGACAAGCCUGACCUGAAGCAGGAACCAGGGUGUCUGGUUCAUAGGCCCUCUUGGACCAUGACUGUGGCCAACAGUGGACUCAGCCUAGCUCCAGGGAAGCUGCUGGAAGGGUAAGGACGGAGCAGUAGGAGGGGGGCCUAGCCAGCCCCAAACCCCGCUUGAUGUACGCAUCAUGGAGGACACUUUUGGGUCGAAGACACGGAACAGGACAACCAGGGGACGGGAGCUGUCUGAGAAUAAACCAGGCCUGGCCUGAGCUCUGCCUGUGGCUCCCACCUCCAGCCUGUGCUGCAGAACCAGCUGCUGGAAGUGGGCAUCAGGGCCUGGCCUGCCCAGCUCGGUGAGGACACCGGGCCUGCUGCUCUUGCCCGAAGAGGGCCCACGCUGUGCCAGGUGGCCACUGCGAGAGAGGGAGGCAGGGGCUUACACUGUGAUCAUUGCAACGCAGCACAGCCUCGGUCAGUUCCCUGUGUGUGUAUCCAUGUGUGUGCGUGUUGGGGGAGUGCUCAUAUCUGGGACUGUGGAGAGAGGGAUGGAAAAGGCUGGCCUCCUCUUAGUACCCCCCACCCUUCUGCAGUACAGCUGUAUAAUCUGGCUGCCCUGGACCAGCUCUGAUUCCCCACAAAAUCCCAUUCCUAGAAGCUAAAAUAUCUCUGGGGUGUCUUCCCCCAGUCAAAGGACUAAAACCCAGAGCAGGCCAUUGCAGCAGGCGCACUGCUCUGGGAGGCGCUCGGCUUCGGGGGAAUUCUACGCUGGGCUCAUGCUUUAGUUUCAUACCUUAGGAUGAAGCAUCGUGGCUUUCAUGUUGGGAUAACAGACUGAUUUAUUAUUUACCGAACGCAGUAGGCGCUCGGCAGAUCAAUUUCAAUACAACAAUGGACUAUAAAUGCCACCAGCAAUCUGGCAGUAGCAGUAAUCAACAAAACAUGUUGUUCUAAAUGCUGCAUAAUAAAUUGACUACAAUAAACUCAUAA
Long non-coding RNA from Homo sapiens (human), 6232 nucleotides. RefSeq lists it as uncharacterized. NCBI's taxonomy places the organism in Eukaryota, Metazoa, Chordata, Mammalia, Primates, Hominidae. The transcript has 2 exons. The record is from RefSeq and is a predicted model, not a curated record.